RNAcentral lists this transfer RNA (93 nucleotides) under Salmo salar (Atlantic salmon). It matches the Rfam family "tRNA". Rfam says of the family: Transfer RNA (tRNA) molecules are approximately 80 nucleotides in length. Their secondary structure includes four short double-helical elements and three loops (D, anti-codon, and T loops). Further hydrogen bonds mediate the characteristic L-shaped molecular structure. tRNAs have two regions of fundamental functional importance: the anti-codon, which is responsible for specific mRNA codon recognition, and the 3' end, to which the tRNAs corresponding amino acid is attached (by aminoacyl-tRNA synthetases). tRNAs cope with the degeneracy of the genetic code in two manners: having more than one tRNA (with a specific anti-codon) for a particular amino acid; and 'wobble' base-pairing, i.e. permitting non-standard base-pairing at the 3rd anti-codon position. Lineage: Eukaryota; Metazoa; Chordata; Actinopteri; Salmoniformes; Salmonidae. The record is from Rfam by way of RNAcentral.
CUCCCUGUGGCUCAGUUGGUAGAGCAUGGUGUUUGCAACGCCAGCAUAGUGUGUUCAACGCCAGGGUUGUGGGUUCGAUUCCCACGGGGGGCA